Molecule: ribosomal RNA, 254 nt
Filed under: uncultured bacterium
Lineage: Bacteria
Description: partial 16S ribosomal RNA
Rfam family: Bacterial small subunit ribosomal RNA
Source: RNAcentral
UACGUAGGGGGCUAGCGUUGUCCGGAAUCAUUGGGCGUAAAGAGCUCGUAGGCGGUUCAGUAAGUCGGGUGUGAAAACUCUGGGCUCAACCCAGAGAGGCCACCCGAUACUGCUGUGACUUGAGUACGGUAGGGGAGUGGGGAAUUCCUGGUGUAGCGGUGAAAUGCGCAGAUAUCAGGAGGAACACCAGUGGCGAAGGCGCCACUCUGGGCCGUAACUGACGCUGAGGAGCGAAAGCGUGGGUAGCAAACAGG